This 459-nucleotide ribosomal RNA is filed under the name uncultured bacterium. RNAcentral's name for it is "partial 16S ribosomal RNA". It matches the Rfam family "Bacterial small subunit ribosomal RNA", at positions 338 to 795 of the family's 1533-position model. The record is from RNAcentral.
CCUACGGGGUGCAGCAGUGAGGAAUAUUGGUCAAUGGGCGGGAGCCUGAACCAGCCAAGCCGCGUGAGGGAAGAAGGUACAGCGUAUCGUAAACCUCUUUUGUCAGGGAACAAAGGCGGGGACGUGUCCCCGGAUGAGUGUACCUGAAGAAAAAGCAUCGGCUAACCCCGUGCCAGCAGCCGCGGUAAUACGGAGGAUGCGAGCGUUAUCCGGAUUUAUUGGGUUUAAAGGGUGCGCAGGCGGUCUGUUAAGUCAGCGGUCAAAGCCCGGGGCUCAACCCCGGCCCGCCGUUGAAACUGGCAGUCUCGAGUUGGAGAGAAGUAUGCGGAAUGCGCGGUGUAGCGGUGAAAUGCAUAGAUAUCGCGCAGAACUCCGAUUGCGAAGGCAGCAUGCCGGCUCCACACUGACGCUGAGGCACGAAAGCGUGGGUAUCGAACAGGAUUAGAUACCCUAGUAGUC